Molecule: unclassified non-coding RNA, 336 nt
Filed under: soil metagenome
Description: partial contains 5.8S ribosomal RNA, internal transcribed spacer 2, and large subunit ribosomal RNA
Rfam family: 5.8S ribosomal RNA (bases 1-120)
Source: RNAcentral
GAUGAAGAACGCAGCGAAAUGCGAUAAGUAAUGUGAAUUGCAGAAUUCAGUGAAUCAUCGAAUCUUUGAACGCACAUUGCGCCCGCCAGUAUUCUGGCGGGCAUGCCUGUUCGAGCGUCAUUUCAACCAUCAAGCUCCCGGGCUUGCGUUGGGGCCCUGCGGCUGCCGCAGGCCCCUAAAACCAGUGGCGGGCUCGCUGUCACACCGAGCGCAGUAGCAUUUCUUCGCUCUGGGCGCGGCGGCGGGCGCGUGCCGUAAAACAUACCACUUUUUAAAGGUUGACCUCGGAUCAGGUAGGAAUACCCGCUGAACUUAAGCAUAUCAAUAAGCGGAGGA